This 437-nucleotide ribosomal RNA is filed under the name uncultured bacterium. RNAcentral describes it as "partial 16S ribosomal RNA". It matches the Rfam family "Bacterial small subunit ribosomal RNA", at positions 29 to 507 of the family's 1533-position model. The record is from RNAcentral.
AGCGAACGCUGGCGGCAGGCUUAACACAUGCAAGUCGAGCGGGCAUCCUUGUGGUGUCAGCGGCAGACGGGUGAGUAACGCGUGGGAACGUGCCCUUUGGUUCGGAAUAACUCAGGGAAACUUGUGCUAAUACCGGAUACGUGCGAGAGCAGAAAGGUUUAUCUGCCGAAGGAUCGGCCCGCGUCUGAUUAGCUAGUUGGUGAGGUUACGGCUCACCAAGGCGACGAUCAGUAGCUGGUCUGAGAGGAUGAGCAGCCACACUGGGACUGAGACACGGCCCAGACUCCUACGGGAGGCAGCAGUGGGGAAUAUUGGACAAUGGGGGCAACCCUGAUCCAGCCAUGCCGCGUGAGUGAUGACGGCCUUAGGGUUGUAAAGCUCUUUUCGCCGGGACGAUAAUGACGGUACCGGAGGAAUAAGCCCCGGCUAACUUCGUG